GUAGGGAAUAUUGGACAAUGGGGGCAACCCUGAUCCAGCGACGCCGCGUGAGUGAUGAAGGCCUUCGGGUCGUAAAGCUCUGUUGCAGGGGAAGAACACAAUGACGGUACCCUGCUAGAAAGGAUCGGCUAACUUCGUGCCAGCAGCCGCGGUAAGACGAGGGAUCCUAGCGUUGUUCGGAAUUAUUGGGCGUAAAGCGGGUGCAGGUGGCUUGGUAAGUCAGAUGUGAAAGCCUGGGGCUUAACCCGAGAAGUGCAGUGGAUACUGCUGAGCUUGAGUGCUGGAGAGGCUAUUAGAAUUCCGGGUGUAGUGGUGAAAUACGUAGAUAUCAGGAGGAAUACCGGAGGCGAAGGCGGAUAGCUGGCCAGACACUGACACUCAGACCCGAAAGCGUGGGGAUCAAACAGGAUUAGAUACCCGAGUAGUCC
This 428-nucleotide ribosomal RNA is filed under the name uncultured bacterium. RNAcentral's name for it is "partial 16S ribosomal RNA". It matches the Rfam family "Bacterial small subunit ribosomal RNA", at positions 354 to 796 of the family's 1533-position model. The record is from RNAcentral.